This 252-nucleotide ribosomal RNA is filed under the name uncultured bacterium. Its description in RNAcentral is "partial 16S ribosomal RNA". It matches the Rfam family "Bacterial small subunit ribosomal RNA", at positions 524 to 776 of the family's 1533-position model. The record is from RNAcentral.
UACGUAGGGUGCAAGCGUUGUCCGGAAUUAUUGGGCGUAAAGAGCUCGUAGGCGGUCUGUCGCGUCUGCUGUGAAAACCUGGGCUUAACCCCGGGCCUGCAGUGGGUACGGGCAGACUAGAGUUCGGUAGGGGAGACUGGAAUUCCUGGUGUAGCGGUGAAAUGCGCAGAUAUCAGGAGGAACACCGGUGGCGAAGGCGGGUCUCUGGGCCGUAACUGACGCUGAGGAGCGAAAGCAUGGGGAGCGAACAGG